This 299-nucleotide unclassified non-coding RNA is filed under the name uncultured fungus. RNAcentral describes it as "partial contains 5.8S ribosomal RNA, internal transcribed spacer 2, and large subunit ribosomal RNA". The stretch from base 1 to 52 matches the Rfam family "5.8S ribosomal RNA", at positions 103 to 154 of the family's 154-position model. Lineage: Eukaryota; Fungi. The record is from RNAcentral.
AACGCACCUUGCGCUCCUUGGUAUUCCGAGGAGCAUGCCUGUUUGAGUGUCUUGAAGUCAUCAACCCCUCCCGUUUUUGUGCGGGUUCGGGCUGGAUCUGGGGGCUUGCGGCCGCGUAGGCCGCUCCCCUCAAAUGCAUCGGUUGGGCCUGUGGGUCGAACUCGACUGGGCGUUGUACCAUCCUCGCUCUCCCGAGACGUUCCCCUUCUGCGCCCUCCCACGACCUGCCUAUGGAGCGGCGGUCAAGCAAAACUUUGAAAUCUGACCUCAAAUCAGGUAGGACUACCCGCUGAACUUAA